UAGUCAUAUGCUUGUCUCAAAGAUUAAGCCAUGCAUGUCUAAGUAUAAACACCUUUAUACAGUGAAACUGCGUACAGCUCAUUAUAUCAGUUAUGAUUUAUUUGAUGGUUAUUUUCUACAUGGAUACCUGUAGUAAUUCUAGAGCUAAUACAUGCGUAAAGUCCCGAUCCGUGAGGAAAGGGAUGUAUUUAUUAGAUAGCAAACCAAUGCAGGCGCAAGUCUGGUUUUUUGGUGACUCCUAGUAACUGUUCGAAUCGCAUGGCUUCACGCUGGCGAU
This 277-nucleotide ribosomal RNA is filed under the name uncultured eukaryote. RNAcentral describes it as "partial 18S ribosomal RNA". It matches the Rfam family "Eukaryotic small subunit ribosomal RNA", at positions 21 to 291 of the family's 1831-position model. The record is from RNAcentral.